This 489-nucleotide long non-coding RNA is filed under the name Volvox carteri. RNAcentral's name for it is "long non-coding RNA (VCAR_LNC000808)". The record is from RNAcentral. Lineage: Eukaryota; Viridiplantae; Chlorophyta; Chlorophyceae; Chlamydomonadales; Volvocaceae.
GCCAGUCGGCUUUACACACUGCACAAUAACCAACCAACACAACCGCUGUGCAAUCCGAACGCAGGAAACUACGCUUCUGUGAAAACCGAUAAGGAGCCAGCCUAGCCAUCCCUAGGUAGCCAUCGUGCCGUCCAUCGCAACUUCGCCCGCAAGAGUUAGCUAAACCGCGCACGUUUGUCGUCCGGCCGACGGCCUUGGCACCCGUGCAGCCUCCACCCUCCAGCUACCUGUCAUGAACGCCCUGCAGAAGGUCAUCGAACGCCGCUUGGCGUACCAUAUCCAUAUCCUCCCUAUCUUACCAAUAGGAGGAGGCUCCACAGAGCAUGCGGAUCCAGGCAUUCUAUGCUAUUCUACGAGCACACGGCAAAAUCCGUACGGGCCAUAAACGUCAUGCUGUGUGGCUGUCUGCCAGGAUACCUCUCUGGGUUGCCUGACAGUUUUCUACGUGAAGCGUUGAAAACUAAGGUUUUCUGCGAAUACGGAGUGUCU